This 86-nucleotide non-coding RNA is filed under the name pig gut metagenome. Its description in RNAcentral is "NiCo riboswitch". It matches the Rfam family "NiCo (Nickel/Cobalt) riboswitch aptamer". The record is from RNAcentral.
ACAGUACAAACUGAGCAGACCGUGACAAUGUCGUCAUGGAGUCGGGUCACAAAAGUGACAGUGGGAUAUUUCAUCCACGGGACAGU